CGAGCAAAAAACAACAUUCAAAGACAUAACAUUUACAACGAGACCGAAGACGACUGGUUCAACAGUCCUACCCCAAGGGAGAGAGAAUGUGGGUCAAGGAAAAGAGCAAAUUAGUCUUCAGACCAUGAAAGAGAACAAAAUGACUACGCCUAGUAGAAGCUAACGGGGAGAACAUGCAAACCAUGCACACAUAACAGAGCCUGGCCUGGAU
Long non-coding RNA from Brienomyrus brachyistius, 211 nucleotides. RefSeq lists it as uncharacterized. Lineage: Eukaryota; Metazoa; Chordata; Actinopteri; Osteoglossiformes; Mormyridae. The transcript has 3 exons. The record is from RefSeq and is a predicted model, not a curated record.